UCAGACGAUGCGUCAUGCAUAUCAAUAAGCGGAGGAAAAGAAACUAACAAGGAUUCCCCUAGUAACGGCGAGUGAAGCGGGAAGAGCUCAAAUUUGAAAUCUUAAAGGGUUUCCCUUUACGAAUUGUAGUUUAAAGAAGUGUUUUCUGUUGAGGUUUUGGUAAAAGUUCUUCGGAAUAGGACAUCAUAGAGGGUGAGAAUCCCGUACUUUGACCUUUACUUUCAACUUUGUGAUACACUUUCAAAGAGUCGGAUUGUUUGGGAAUGCAGUCCAAAAUGGGUGGUAAAUUUCAUCUAAAGCUAAAUAUUGGCGAGAGACCGAUAGCGAACAAGUACCGUGAGGGAAAGAUGAAAAGAACUUUGAAAAGAGAGUUAAACAGUACGUGAAAUUGUCAAAAGGGAAGCGUUUGACACCAGUGGUGUUUUUCUGAAAAUCAAUUAAAGAACUGUUUAUGCUAAGCUGUUUAGACUUUAUCAGCUAAUCUGUUUAGUUUUGAGCUUUUCUUUAAUGCACUUUUCAGUUAACAAGUCAACAUCAAUUUCUUUUGCUGUAAAAAAGCUUGAGGAAGGUGGCUUGAGAUUCGUCUUAAGUGUUUAUAGCCUCUUGCCUAUGCAGUCGGAGAGAUUGAGGUCUGCAGCGUAGAUCCUUCGGGGCUAAAUGCAUUUGUGCUAAGUUAUAGCAUUUUAUAGACAACUUGUUGACUAUGAUUUGUCUUGUAGCUUACUCGCUUAUGUUAUUUUACCUACGCUUAGGAUGUUGAAUCUGUGCGAGACUAC
Molecule: ribosomal RNA, 776 nt
Filed under: uncultured Neocallimastigales
Lineage: Eukaryota; Fungi; Neocallimastigomycota; Neocallimastigomycetes; Neocallimastigales
Description: partial large subunit ribosomal RNA
Rfam family: Eukaryotic large subunit ribosomal RNA
Source: RNAcentral